Molecule: long non-coding RNA, 1596 nt
Organism: Junco hyemalis (dark-eyed junco)
Lineage: Eukaryota; Metazoa; Chordata; Aves; Passeriformes; Passerellidae
Source: Ensembl
AUGCCCCAAACAAUCAUCUUUGCUUUUGUUGUGACUGAUUGUUAUGCCUGGGAAAACGAGCUGCACGAGCCCCGUUGCCCUGUGCAGUGCCUGUUCAGUGGGGGAUGUGGGGUUUUAUUUAUCUGCUGUCCUUAUGAGAAGAGAUUUGUCCCUGCUCUGCAUAAAUGUGCUUCUGCUUGUUCCUUGGAUUCCAGGUGUUUGAAGAUGCUUGUAAAUCAUCCCAGCAGAAAGGCUGAGCAUCACAGUCUUCAGAGCAUUCUCAUGGCCAGAAUAUUCCCCUGCAGCUCUGGGGAAGAGGGAGCUUGGGAAGGAAUCCUAACGCAGAGACAAGAAGUGAAGAGCUACAGUCCAGCCUCAGCUGAGGGUGCAGAGAGCCCUGAGCGUGAGACUUGCUGCAGAUCUGGAGGCAGAUGGAUGUGUUCCAUCUCCACCCAGCUGGGGCUGCCUCAGGAUGGAGCCAGCCCUGCUCUUGGCAUGGGGAAACACAGAGGGGAUUUCAUUAGCAUUAAUGGACUGGCCAAGGAAGAGCUCUGCAUGCUGACAAGAUAAUGCACAGCUUUAAUAUAGCAAAUUCCUGCUGCUGCUGGGGGCUGCCCAGCUACAACAUUCAGUUUCACUGGUUAAAAUGAGCCCUGAGGAAGGUGUGGGUGAGAUGCUGUUCCCUGUUUCCAUCAAAGCACCCACUUCUCUGACAAGGACCAGACUUCCCACCUCCCUUUUUCAAAUGAUUGCUCAGACUCCUGAUGCUGAGCAGAAAACAUUUAAGCUGUUUUUUCAAAAUGAACAUUUAUAGGUGGUGUCUUUCCCCUUCCCCAGAGCAGAGUGUUAAUGACAUUGGAGGACUCAAGAACCUGUCUGGAAGGGAUUCUGGAUGGAGAAGAGGUGCAAACCCAGAGCAGCCAGAUGUUCUUCUAAAAUGGAAGAGUUAAAAAACCAAGCUCCAAAGGACAAAGAAAGGGAAAAAAGGAGAAAUUUAGAUUGUGGAAAAUGAGAAGCUGCUUAUCAGGGGAAAUAUGGAUGUGUGAUGCCAGGGUGGGGCAAUUUUCUCUCCAGUUCCUGUGCUUCCUCUGAGGUGGUUUGACUUUAGAAAUACAUAAAAGAAAGGUGACUUCUUGUUUGUUUCCUGUAUUGGAAAAGAUGGAAUGGGAAGAGGGGGCAGAUUUUGCACCACUAAUGUUGCAGGAGUAGAGGCAUUCCCUUACUGUUUGUUGAUAUUGAAAACAGCCUGAAAUGGCUUUUUGCCUUUUUCCUGGGAAAAAUAACAGGAAUAUCAAAGGAUUAUAUAAGUUAGGAAAGAAGCAAGCAGCCUCAACGUGAAUUUUGUGUUUGCUGUGGUGUGAAGAGAAACACUGUGUUGGAGGUGGCAGUGAAGAUGAUUUCUGGGGAUGCAGGUAAGAUAUCCCAAUGCUUCCAUGCUCUCCAGGGAUGGCAGUCUGCAGGUCACAAUCCUGCUCUGGGGCCAGGGGAAUGGAUAGAGGGAAAAACCCCAAUCUCUAACAGGUCAGAUCCUGAGAACUGAGUGGUAAUUCCUGCCAAGUCACUGGUAGGGAUCUCCCUGGGAAUAAAUGCUUGGAAAUUGCUGUUCGGUGCUUUCCU